GCCGGAUAAAGCCAUUUUUAAAAGCCCUGGAGACGGACCUCCCCGGACGCCCGAAGAGAGCGUUUCUCGAGACACUCGGCUCCUUGUCUUCGUUUAAAGGAAAAUGCCCUUCUCUAAAGCACUUCAUCCCUGGGGAGGCAUACGUGGCACCAGCUCUGGUCAGGCUUUGCGAGAGGAUUAUGGAGCCACGACUGACGCAUGUGAGAACUGCCGUGACCACUGGCCACUGCUGUGUCUGACAGAGUUGUGGCUACCGGCGGAGCAAGGUGGCUCUCCGGUCCCUGUCGGCUGCUGGCGGGGGACGUCAGUGAACGCGCUGCCCAUGAUUUACCGCUCCCUGUGUCGGAGAUGGAGCAGAGCGAGGGUGGGCCGGCGGGGGCGUGUCCAUGCAGAUGAGCAGACCCCGCGCGGCACCACGGGACACUCCCGCACCGGCCUCGCGCCGCACACCGGAGCGUGCGGGCACCGCGCGGGAGCCGCGGGGCCGGAGGAGCGGCGGGUCGAGGCGCGCGGGGCCGUGCGUGGCGCGGUUGGUUGGUGUUUGUGUCGGCGUGCGGUGUGUGUGUGUGCGCGCGUGUGUGCCGUGGCGGUGGGGGACAAUCACUCAUACUUACCUGGCAGGGGAGACACCAUGAUCAGGCAGGUGGUUUUCCCAGGGCGAGGCUCAUCCUUUGCACUCCGGGUGUGCUGACCCCUGCGAUUUCCCCAAAUGCGGGAAACUCGACUGCAUAAUUUGUGGUAGUGGGGGACUGCGUUCGCGCUCUCCCCUGGCUAAAAA
This is a long non-coding RNA of Colius striatus (speckled mousebird), 778 nucleotides long. RefSeq lists it as uncharacterized. The transcript is spliced from 2 exons. Lineage: Eukaryota; Metazoa; Chordata; Aves; Coliiformes; Coliidae. The record is from RefSeq and is a predicted model, not a curated record.